GUUGGGACAGGCAGGAUUGGGGAAACACUUUUUCCCUCAUUUGCCUGUUUUAGA
Molecule: microRNA precursor, 54 nt
Filed under: Otolemur garnettii (small-eared galago)
Lineage: Eukaryota; Metazoa; Chordata; Mammalia; Primates; Galagidae
Description: miRNA (ENSOGAG00000028059.1)
Source: RNAcentral